AGAAAAUGUAGAAGUAAUCACAUAUUUGUACGAUUCAGAAAAACUCAUUUUUUUCCGUUUAGUAAAUAUUAUUUAGUAAAAUGAAUAGAAAUCACGAAAGAAUAAAAGAUGAAGAUGAUUUAGAAAAGCUGGCACUAGAUGAAAUUGUAAAAGAAGCAAAAAGAGGGAAAGAAAGAGCAGAAACAAUGGGUCCAAUGGGAUGGAUCAAAUGUCCAUUGAUGCCGACAAAUAAAAGAUUCUUAAAAAAUGUUCUUAAGGGAACUUUGGAUAACAAGAGAUAAGAAAGCCAAUAAGAGAAAUUUUAAGAGGGAUUCAAGCAAUUUUUUACUUGAUGUGAAGCAUAACAAAGAAACAGACCACAAACAAAUUAAUGAUAACAUAUCUGAGCAAAGUAGUAGCUCUAAUAAAGAUUUAUCAGCAAGUAUUUCAACGAGAAAUUUGAAAACUGAAUCAUCUUACAGAUUAAAGAGGAGACAUAAUGAAAGUAACAAUAUCACUCGUAAUAAUAAACUGAAAUAUAAUAAAGAAAGUAAAAGAAGAAAAUAAGCAAAUAGACUACAAUUAAUGUUGCUCAGAUGUUAAAACUCCACAUUUUGUCUUAAGUUGUCUUGUCAAAAAAAGCAAACCAACAAAUGAAACCUCGAUCUUGGAUUUUAAAGUUAUUUAAUUUAUAUAUUUACACAUUAAACUUAUACAUUUGGUUGGACCUUGUCCUCUCCUAACACUGUUCUAUAAAUAUUAUACACUAUAUAUGAGAUAUACUUUAUUAUGACAAUCUAAUCAAA
Molecule: long non-coding RNA, 785 nt
Organism: Xenia sp. Carnegie-2017
Lineage: Eukaryota; Metazoa; Cnidaria; Anthozoa; Malacalcyonacea; Xeniidae
Exons: 3
Source: RefSeq, a predicted model, not a curated record